RNAcentral lists this ribosomal RNA (464 nucleotides) under uncultured bacterium. RNAcentral describes it as "partial 16S ribosomal RNA". It matches the Rfam family "Bacterial small subunit ribosomal RNA", at positions 28 to 507 of the family's 1533-position model. The record is from RNAcentral.
GACGGACGCUGGCGGCGUGCUUAACACAUGCAAGUCGAACGGAAAGGCCCCAGCUUGCUGGGGUACUCGAGUGGCGAACGGGUGAGUAACACGUGGGUGAUCUGCCCUGCACUCUGGGAUAAGCCUGGGAAACUGGGUCUAAUACCGGAUAGGACCGUGCUUUAGUGUGUGCGGUGGAAAGUUUUUCGGUGCAGGAUGAGCCCGCGGCCUAUCAGCUUGUUGGUGGGGUAAUGGCCUACCAAGGCGGCGACGGGUAGCCGGCCUGGAAGGGUGUACGGCCCCAUGGGACUGGGGACACGGCCAGGACCCUUCGGGGGGGAAGCGGGGGGGAUUUUGGAAAAUGGGGCGAAGGCCGAAUGAAGCGCCGCCGGGUGGGGGAGGCCGGCCUUCGGUUGGAAACCCCCUUCCGGCAGGAAGGAGGCUUAGUGGCCGGAACCGGCAUAGGAGGAACCGCCUACUUCGUG